GAGAACUUAAGUGACCCGCCCAGAGUCCCACAUGGAGUCAGUGGCAGAAUUGGAAAUGGAACCCAGAUCUUGAGUUCCAGGCCUGUGCUGAACCACACGAGCACCUUUUUUCCUAGUGAACAUGAUAUGUGUAGCUGGAGGAGGAGCAAUGAGAGACAGGACAAUACCUCUUAACUUAAAAGAAAAUGGCUGCAAGCAGGAACCAAGGGCCGGGUCUGGAACCUGGGAGCCACACUGUUGCAGCAGGAGAGGUACACUUUGUAAGAGCAAUACUGGACCUGAGGCACAGCAGCAGUAUUCCACCCAUGUUGACAGCAUUGUCCAGUCAAGAGGGCACUGGGCUGGCAGGUAGUCCCAGUUCUGCCAUUGACCAGCUGUGUGAC
Molecule: non-coding RNA, 383 nt
Organism: Chelonoidis abingdonii (Abingdon island giant tortoise)
Lineage: Eukaryota; Metazoa; Chordata; Testudines; Testudinidae
Source: RefSeq, a predicted model, not a curated record